Oncorhynchus tshawytscha (Chinook salmon) is the source of this 2589-nucleotide long non-coding RNA. The record is from Ensembl. Lineage: Eukaryota; Metazoa; Chordata; Actinopteri; Salmoniformes; Salmonidae.
GUAAAGACACUGGCAGAGAGACCAGUAAAGACACUGGCAGAGAGACCAGUAAAGACACUGGCAGAGAGACAAUAACAAAAGCUAGUCAAGAGACCCGAAAGGACAGCAGGAGCAGAGGGAAAGAUAAGGAGGCGGAAAAGAUAAUCAAGGAGAUGGAGACUGGCAAAAAAGAGACCAGUACAGAGACUCGCAAAAAGUUAGGGAGUAAGACUAGAAACAUGACAGUCCAUGAGACCAGCAAAGACACUGGGAAAAUGACCAGUACAGAGACUGUUAAGGAGACUGAGAGAGAGACUAGCACAGACAUGGAGAGAGAGACCUGUAGAGCUGUUAGUAUAGUGGCCAGUAGAAUCAGCAAUAGAGAAACCAAAAAAAAGCCAGAGACUUGUAAAACACCUGAAAAGAAGACCAAUACUCAGACUGUGAAAGAAAAAACUAAAGUGACUCCUCCCCCCAUCUCCCCUCCAACCACUAAUCUGUGGGAUUUCCUGAAGAGGCAGAACCGAGGAGCUGUGAUUGGUCUGAGUGCACUCAUCGAGUGCCACAGUCACGGCCAGCCCCCCCUCUACCUCUGCCAGGUGUGUGGGUGUAAAGUCUUCCAGAACGCCAUCAUCGUCCAUGUAACCACAGACUGCCACCGGCUUUCCUACCUGGUAACGGAGUUGGAUGCACACACUUACAAUUUUGUUGCAGAAAGAUCCUUUGCCAUUGGCCUGAACAUUGUAAUGAAGGUCAUAAAUGGUGACCCUUCACCUGACCCCCUACUGUUGGUCAGCCCUAAACCCCCUGACCCCUCACCCCAGGUCAGCCCUGACCCCUCACUCCAGGUGUCAGAGGUCAGCAACCCCACCAUGACCUCUACAGCUCUGUGGUCCUACCUGAAUGCCUCCACCAGGACACAGCCUGUCAUCGGUGUCAGUAUGUUGACAGAGUUGCCAGACAGACAUGGUGACUACUUCCUCUGCCGCUGCUGUUCUCACAGGAUGUUUACAUCAUCCCUCAUUGGACACCUAAUCUCUGCUCGACACCGCUACCACUACAUAAAACUAGUGUACCCUGAGCUGGCUGCUGAUUGGCCAGUGAGCCCAGAGCUGACGGUGAAGGCGGGGCCUCUUCAUGAGGAGCUGAGAGUGAGAGCUGCAGAACUGGAGGCACAGGAGGGACUAGGACAGCUCACGGUGGUAAAGAGAGAACCUGCUGCUGGAGACACAACCACUACCAAUACUGAAGGGACUGCCCAGCAGAGCCAGAACGGCUCACCUCCUCUCUCUGUGAAAGAGGAACCGGUUGACUCCACAGUACCAUCCCAGCCCCCUAGAGGAGAAAAGAGGAACAAGAGGAGGAGCAACCCUGUGGUUGGUGUGAACUUCCUGGUCCAGGUGUCCCACAGGAGAAGGAAACAGUACUACUGUCAGCUAUGUUCUGUCAGGAUGAAACACGCUAUUGCUGAUCACAUGACCAGCCUCAGCCACCGACACAACUAUGUGAGGUUGAAGUACCCUGGUUGGACCUCCAGCCCGGUAGAGAUGGAGAAGAAGCUGUUCAAAAUGGCCGUUCACCUGGAGAAGGUCGACAGAGACGCAGGAAUGGGCAUGCAGAAGGUAGAAGUGGAAGCUGAUGAGUACAAAGAGCUGUUGUCCUUUCCUGUGGAGGAAGGUGUCAGUAAACUGCAAGCCAUCAUCAGACGGCAACAAGAGCCAUGCGAUCUGAGACACACAGCUCCCUCGACCAAUCACAACCCAGAGGAUCUGAGACAGACAGCUCCCUUGUCCAAUCCCGAUGCAGCCCAAUGUCCAGCUCAAGGUAUGUGUGGGGCAGAGUCACGUGAGACCGAGGGAGUGUGUCCUCUCCCUGUCAGUCUAUCAGAGGAGGAGAAUGACCAGACGCUCCUGGUUCAGAUCUCAAUGUUUUUGGGAGAAGACCAGGAACCCCUACAAGUACCUUCCCGUUCCUCCAGGAUCAGCCACCCCUUAUUUCCAUCCCUCUCCCACUCUCUACACCUCACCCUAUCCCCCUCUCUUCCUCAAUCCCCCUCCCUCUCUCCCUCAAACCCCUUUUCUACCUCUCUUUCCACAGUUGUCCUAUCUACCUCACCCUCCCUCUCUUCCUCCAUACCAUCCCACACCCCCUCGUUGUCCACAGAGAAGACAACACACCCCUCCCCUGUCUCUGUCCCUGUUCCUGCACCUCUCUCAGCUCUGAGGAGCUCAACACAUUUGAAGGACUGGGAGACUUCUCUGAGUCCAGAGUGGUGGGAGAGGAAGAGCCCAGAAUGCAGAGAGACACAGACGCUUCUAGAAAUACCAGACAGACACACUCUUCUGGAAUACUCGGGCAGAGACAGACAGAUUGAAUACUCAGCGACAGACCGACAGACUGCAUACACUGAGAGAAACCGACAGACUCAUCUAGAAUACUCUGAGAGAGACAGACGGGCAGACUACUCAGAGAGAGACAGACGGGCAGACUACUCAGAGAGAGACAGACGGGCGGACUACUCGGAGAGAGACAGACGGGCGGACUGCUCGGAGAGAGGCAGACGGGCGGACUACUCCGAGGGAGGCAGACGGGCGGACUACUCCGAGGGAG